CCGCUUCACAGUUAUUGGGGGGACCACCCUGGAGAUCAGGCUCUGGCACAUGCUGGCAUACAGCAUGACAAACGAGCUGGCCUCAGGCCUAAACUGGGCCGGCAAGAAAAUCAAGGAAGUACCCAAACAGAAGCGGUCCUUUAAGGAAAUGGCCCUCUGCAAAUGCAUGUUUGAUGCCUUGACUCAACGACCUAGCACAGCAAAUACCUAUGAAUUUUCACAAGCUGUGCAGAAGUGGGUGCGCUACGCCCCAGAUUGGGCGGGAGGAGCUGGACAACUGACCCUGCAGCAGUUGUAACACGUUAAAAGAAAAAAA
Etheostoma spectabile (orangethroat darter) is the source of this 316-nucleotide long non-coding RNA. RefSeq lists it as uncharacterized. Lineage: Eukaryota; Metazoa; Chordata; Actinopteri; Perciformes; Percidae. The record is from RefSeq and is a predicted model, not a curated record. The transcript is spliced from 2 exons.